This 645-nucleotide ribosomal RNA is filed under the name Acinetobacter baumannii. RNAcentral describes it as "partial 23S ribosomal RNA". It matches the Rfam family "Bacterial large subunit ribosomal RNA", at positions 2286 to 2925 of the family's 2925-position model. The record is from RNAcentral. Lineage: Bacteria; Pseudomonadati; Pseudomonadota; Gammaproteobacteria; Moraxellales; Moraxellaceae.
CCUCCUAAAGAGUAACGGAGGAGUACGAAGGUGCGCUCAGCGUGGUCGGAAAUCACGCGUAGAGUAUAAAGGCAAAAGCGCGCUUAACUGCGAGACCCACAAGUCGAGCAGGUACGAAAGUAGGUCUUAGUGAUCCGGUGGUUCUGUAUGGAAGGGCCAUCGCUCAACGGAUAAAAGGUACUCUGGGGAUAACAGGCUGAUACCGCCCAAGAGUUCAUAUCGACGGCGGUGUUUGGCACCUCGAUGUCGGCUCAUCUCAUCCUGGGGCUGAAGCAGGUCCCAAGGGUAUGGCUGUUCGCCAUUUAAAGAGGUACGCGAGCUGGGUUUAGAACGUCGUGAGACAGUUCGGUCCCUAUCUACCGUGGGCGCUGGAAAUUUGAGAGGAUCUGCUCCUAGUACGAGAGGACCAGAGUGGACGAACCUCUGGUGUACCGGUUGUGACGCCAGUCGCAUCGCCGGGUAGCUAUGUUCGGAAGGGAUAACCGCUGAAAGCAUCUAAGCGGGAAGCCUACCUCAAGAUAAGAUUUCCCUAGGACUUUAUGUCCUCUAAAGAGCCGUUCGAGACUAGGACGUUGAUAGGUUGGAUGUGGAAGCAUAGUGAUAUGUGAAGCUGACCAAUACUAAUUGCUCGUGAGGCUUGACUAU